GGUAAUCCACAUUCUACGAUCUUUUUCUUUCCUUUCCUUUGCAGAGAAUCAACACUUUCCUUUGAUAGAAUAUUCCUUUGCACACCUUGUUGACCAGUAGACAUGUUAUGUGAUUCCCCUUCUUGCCCAAUUAGGGCCUUAAAUCUUGAGCCGGAUUUUCUAGACGUUGAUGGCGAUUCUGUAGGACUUUCCUUCUUUUGAUUUCUGCGAGGUCUAUGUUGGGCAUGGAUCCAGGGACCAUAUUGACCCGACCAGUCAGUUGCAAGCGAGACCUCCAAUGUCUCUCCAUGGCGGUUAGCCAUAUUUUCCUCCAUACUCCUUUUGUUAGGGCACAUGACUUGACUAUGUCCAACAAUUCCACAUUCAAAACACACUUGAGGUUCGUAUUCAACUUUUUGCAUGAAUCAUUCAGACUGGUGAGCAAAGGUUUCUUCAAGUUCGACUGCGACACGCGCAAACUGCUCUCUAUUUGCUAGUUGAGUAUUCAUAUCAACUGUAAUUGUUUUCCUAACAACGUUGCCAAUUGUCUCUAAAAUUUGCUCAUACUAGUACUGCAUUGACAUCUUUGGAAGUCUGACCCAAGACAUCAUUGAGGAAACCACUGCAUUGGUUGCCCAAAAUUUCAGAAUCCAUUCUUGUACAGUUAAGUAAUGGCCAAGAAUAGUCCAAGGACCAUCCAAAAUUAUGUGUUCCAAAUCCUCCUUAAGGGCUAGUUUAAUCAAGAAAAAUCCAUUGUCAAGAUCAAUAACUUUGUAAUGACCUCGCAGCUUCCAGAUAGUCAUGAUUCCAUUGCAUAAAUUUUAUAACCCAAAGGUCUACCCCAUAAUUUAACUACAAUGAAGUUCUCCCGUUGCGAAACUCAUUUGAUAACAUGAUACUAGGACCAGAAGGCUCCAAAUGGACUAUAAUAUCACCUUAAAUUCAAUAUAAAAAAUUAUAUCAAAAUACAUCUCAUCCGGGUUCACUAGAAGGCUUUCUUUAUAAGUCUUCAGGGCAUUAUCCUCCAUAUCCAUAUCUUGCUGAUGCUCAAUGUUUUGAUCUGAAUCCAUACAUGAAUUCUCCAUAUUGAUAUUACUGUGAAACUUGACUUUCAUAGUAGGGCGGUCUUCGUUAGACAGGAGAGGAAGGUUUUCCUCAAGAGAAUUUUCCAUCCCACUUUUACUAGUUUUUUUUUCUUUCUCUAUUACUUUCCUCUACUCUUUUUCCUUCCCAUUCCCCUGUAAUUUCUAAAUCCUAAUCAAUGCUCAUUGCACAAACACGUCUUAUCAAUUAUAGUACGAGGUAAUUACUAUAUAAGAUUUUUUUUUUCUUUUAUAUAACUUAUAGACAAUACCAAUUAUAUAGUAACAUAUAAUACUAAUUAUGUAGUGAUAUAUGAUACCAACUAUAUAGUGAUAUGUGAUAUUAUCUACCGAUAACAUGGUAUUAUAUGUUUUUUUAUAUUUUUUAUAUUGGCGUUAUUUAUCUCUUAAUAUUUUAAAUUUAUAUUUUUUUAUCUUUCUAUAUUUUAAUUUUAUAUUAAAAAAAUUUAUUUUAUAAUUUUAUAUUAAAUAGUAAUUCCACUCUAAAUUUCAUAAAACAAUGUUAACUAGGUGGUUUUAUAUUAUUUCUUAUCUAAAUUACUUCUUAAAUUUUGUUUAUUAUACUAAAUAUUUUAUAUUUUUAAAGUCAAUAUAAUUAUAAAAUUAAAAUAAUAGAAAAAGGAUAAGUUGGUCCUUGAACUUUCUUAUUAAAGUUAUAAUUAAUUUACAAAAUAAAUAAUAAGAAAAAUGUUUAUUUUAUUUUAAUAAUUUAAAGUCAAAUUAUAUAAAUUUUUAUAUUUUACUAAAUAAAAAUACUUUUAAAAUAUUUAAACUUUAUUAAAAUUAAAUUAUGCUAAGAAUUAAAAUAAGUAAAAAAUAUUAAUUAAUUAUUUUUAUAUAAAUGCUAAAGUUAGAUAUUGUAAAAAUACAUAUUUAUUUUGAUUGAUAUAAAUAAUUUUAUACGAGUCUGAUAGUUAAAUAUAACAAAUUACAUUGUGACAAAUGAGAACCGGCAAAAUUCGGUAUUAACGUGCUAAUAAAUUCUAUAAAAAAUAGAUGGGUUAAUCUAAGGGCUCAUGAGUUUCUGUAUUUUCAUUACCAUUUUCUUCAAUUCUGUUGAUGCUUCUACAUAUAUGAACUGGGUCCAUCUUCAAUUGUUUUUGGUUAUUCAAUUCUGUUAGUUGAUGCAAGCAAAAAAAAACUCAGCUCCCACAGGCUGAAAACUCUCUUCUUUUUCUUCGCUUGUAAUAGCAUUUGAAUUUGCUUUCCACGUUAAGAGGGAAGCACUCCAGAUUGACUUCACCUGGAUCACUUCCUGGGUUCAUCACAGGAUUAAUAAGCCCUUCACCACUGGCACUAUACUAUUGCUAGUGCUAUUGCUUGCAGAAAUCCUGGUGGAAAAAGAAAUGGUCACUCCUCAGGUGUCAGAAAGCAUUUCCAGGACAUAGAUAUUCUGAUCUGGAAAUACUAAGACCAGUAGUAACAAUAGUCAUUUUGUAUAUUAGUCCUAACUUCUAGAUAAAGGAACCGAAAUACCUACCCUGAAUUUCCAUGUUCCACAAUUUCAGCCCCAGUUGUAUGUGCUUGAAGUACUUCAGAGACGGGACUGGGUCCCUUCAGAUCAAUGUUAUCACCAUUUCCACAGGCAUCUUCCUGAACCAUGGGCUGAACUUCUGCAAAAUAGAAUCAAGAACAUGUCCGACAGUGAGUACAAUAGUGCCAAUAUUUUGCUUCUCGUCAAAUAUUUGUAACUGAAGUAAUUAAAACUAACCUGUUAAUGGACUUGAAUCUGCAGAAGGGGUCUUCAUUAACAGCUUGUGGCACAUUACAGUAUCCUGGAAAUCCAAGAAACUGUAAUCUUUCAGAUUCUGUCAGUUUUCAAAAUCCAAAUGAACCCGUCCAUGUGUUUAAAACGCUAGGAACAGCAGCUAAAAUCAGUCUCUGGACUCCUAAUUCCUUCAGCUUCUGAAAGAAGAAAAACAAUUGAAAAGAACAUAUAGCGAUGAGAAAAAAUUUCAGCCCAUGAGAAUAUCUUCUUCAUUCUCCCUGAGAUAAGAGUAGAAUCUACAGGUUACCUUUUCAAGCACAUUCAUUAGUAUGCCACACAUUCCAAGUCGACGGUACUGAACUCUAGUGCCAACAAGUGGUAUUUCUGCCACCUUCUCUCCAUAGACCCUUGAACAAGAAAAAAGAUUUUCAGAUCCCCAUAUUGUCUAAAGUAGGACAUGUAUAAUAAUAUCUAAUUAACAAAAAUAUACCUAACUGUAGCCACUGUAAUAAAUUCAUCAUCCUUCUGCAGAAGAACUGUAUAGAAUCCUCGAAAAUUCAGACGGUUGAGUUCUGACCUGCAAAAGCCAAAAUGACAACUGAAAGGUUCAGUACCCGUUCUCUAGUUCUUAUGGAGAAACUGAUAAACAAAGUACCUAAAUGUAUACAAGUAUUAGUUAAAUAUAUAGCAUAAUAGAGAAUCAAGACCUGCCAAGCUCAAUCAUUUGACAUUUGAACUUCAAAAGAAGGAAAAUUUUAAGCUCUGCAUGCCAUUAUUUUCCAACCAGAAAAGGAAUUUAGCCAUUCAGAUUUUGUUUAAUAAGAGUUUCUUACCUUUUUCUGAAAAUAACAUCUUUAAGAAAAUCUCCCUUGGUGCGGGGUUCUUCAACAGGCUGAAAACACUCAUGCAUCACAUGAAGUGCAAUACUGAGCUUGCUGUAGUUCUCAAUAUCAGAAGCAUCAGGUUUGUGAUCACUGGAGUGGUUGGAUUUUAACAGUGUCCAAGUAAGAUUGUUUAAACCUACUGGAAUUUGUUUUCCUAGAAGCUCAUGGAGGCCCAAGAAAAUCUGCAAAAAUUGCGCAAUUAUUUGUAGCAAAUUGAAGAUUGGACAAUGUACACUACAACAGGCAAUCUAU
RNAcentral lists this long non-coding RNA (3926 nucleotides) under Ricinus communis (castor bean). RNAcentral's name for it is "long non-coding RNA (RCOM_LNC002437)". The record is from RNAcentral. Lineage: Eukaryota; Viridiplantae; Streptophyta; Magnoliopsida; Malpighiales; Euphorbiaceae.